UCAUUUUCUCUUCAAUCAAAAACCCUAAUUCUCCUUUUCCUUCAAUCAGUCAUACGUGUGUCGCUCCUCUGCCUCCCCCCAUACACGAACCGGAUAAUAUCCCCCAUCCUUCAAUCCUACUUACACCCUGAUAAUUCAAACCACUGAUUCCUAAUCUCACCUCCUACAAUCCACUAAUUCACCUCCCUUUUUACUCUUAAUCUUCGUCUUUGUCGUCAAUCUCUGUUUCUAGGGUUUCAUUUCUGCAAUUGAAUUCGUGUUUGAUUGUGUCGGUGUUGUGUUAUGCAAUGAGGUUGAAGGUUUAUGAUUUGGAUUGUUAGGCGGAUGCUUUGUUAAAGGAGAAUAUAUAAGCAAAUGCAUUUAGGUGGAAGGAAACUUUUGGAGCAUGGGAGGUGAGACAAGGUUACUGUACUGAUGAUGGCCUUGCCCACUACAAGUUCUUUCAGAUACAAAACAUCUUAUACUCCAUACCUGUUAGGUAAAGAUUAAGUGCAGCACCAAUCUGGUAUUCAACAAUGGUUGCUUAGUUGAGCAGGGCCAUUGAGGGAGGAAGAACACGCAUAUGAUGUGGCAUUUUUGACACAUAUACGUAUAGGUAUAAUAAAGCAGUAUGGUGGUUUGAGAAGACUUUAGCUCACAUACCACCACUGUUAACUGAGAUGUGGGAAUCAACUAUGGUUAAUCUUGCUCAUGCGUUAAGAAAGUUGAAGGGGUACGAUGAAGCAGUCACAUAUUAUGAAAAGGCCCUUGAGCUAUCAACAAGAAACUUAAGCACACAUGUUGGCUUUACACGUAUCACCUGCAGGAUAAUUAUACGGAUGCAAUUACAUACUAUCACAAGGCAUUUUGGAAUUAUACAGAUGACCAGUUCUGCCCAAAAAUGUUGACACUGGUUUGUAGGAUCGUUUUCAGACCCGAACGAGUCGAUCAGAAGAGUUUAUCUCUAAACGAAAGGCGGAAACAGACGUGUAGAGUUCAAUUCAGCAAGAUUCACACUAUAAACUGUUGUAUGAUUGAUUUGAGAACGUUUUACAACCUGACAACACUUCGGCAACACUUCGUUGCACAAGCCGGAAAGUUACAAAUGAUGAAAGUUUGAAAGCUAUAUAUAGAUAGUGACCCUUCCGUUUGAAACUCUUCAAACGGACAGGACAUUUCAAACUAAACCCUAUUUCAAACUUUCAGCUGCUUCAAACUUUCAACUGCUUCAAACUUUCAGCUUCAAACUUUCAGCUUCAAGUGUAGUAAACCGAGACUUGAUAUAAGACGAAGACGACAGACGGAUGCGCCAACAAACUCCCCCUCGGAUGUUGACGGAGUCUUCAGUGUCGAGUCUUCACAUCUUCAAUCUUUAUCAGUCCUCUCGAACUCUUUGAAGUAUUUGACGUUGUAAGAAUCCUCAAAUCUUUCUCUUCUCUUUUCGUCAUCAUCAACAGACUUUCCACGAACAAUCUCUACUUGGAUGUCUUCAGACUCCCCCUUUCGAUAUGUUGGGAUCGCAGCCUGGCUUGUUGAAAUCACACAGUCUUCAGGUAUCGGAACCUGGCACUCUAUCUUCAGAUAACCUGCACAUUCUCUACCCAAAAAUAAAUUUUCUGAUGAUAACUUGUAAAAACAAUCUCACCAGCUUAUGAAUCACUUACAGGAAUAAUACAAUCAAAGAAUGAUUUUACAAUGUUAAUCUUUGAUAAACCACUUGAAGAUAUAUUUUAAUUUUUCAAAAACAACACACACUCCCAAACCAUCUGUUCAUCAUGUUUAGCACUCGGAAUUUUGAAAAUUAGCUCUCCAAUACCAGUUGUCGAAAAUCUUUUUGAAUUUUUCGAAAUUUAUGCUAAAACACGCUAAAAAUCUUUUUGGAUUUUUGAAUGAAAGUAAAUGCAGAAACGAAAUAUU
Molecule: long non-coding RNA, 1896 nt
Filed under: Helianthus annuus (common sunflower)
Lineage: Eukaryota; Viridiplantae; Streptophyta; Magnoliopsida; Asterales; Asteraceae
Source: RNAcentral